CGCCCGCAAAACAGGAUCUUGGUACCUCUAAGGGGUCCUUUUCAAAAUUUCCGAGGAACAGCCCGGUCCUUUUUACACGAGGGUCCCACUCCCGGGCAGAAGAUUAGUCAAAGGUCCUCAUUUGUGCUCUUCACUUACCGGUAAUAAUCCGUUUAGUCCAUCGAAAUUUACUCCACUCUUCGAAGUAAUGCUGCUUAGUUCUUUCAUUAUUUUAUUCGGCGAGAGCUCUUCUGGGCCCUAGCUACCCAGCCAGGCCAGCCUAUCAGGACCUAUCAGGACCUAUCAGGGGCAACAUAAGUGUUUCCUCGUACGACCCCUCGUUCGUUGCAGCAACAUUGCCGAAGUGCCCUGGGGACGAGGUUGAAGGUGGCCCCAGGAACGCCCCAGAAAAAAAAUUGUCACGUGACUCACAGCGUGACGACUUCACACUCGAGUUGAGUUGAGUUGAGUUGACUUGUAGCUUUUGUGUGGUCGUUGCUUUCCAGCUGAUGGCGGGAACAGCUCACUGUAAACCGUACAGGGCCCGAGGAAAGAAACAUUUUAAACGAAGCCCGCAUACCGAAUGCCUCGCGUCUCGAAUUUCAAGUUGAAAGUGAAGAAAAGUUUAGACGAAGUAAACUUCUAAGAAGGAAAAGGCAAAGACGAACAACGAACUGAUCAGUUCUCUCUGGUUCGCAUAGUGACCAUAGCCUUAAACGUUUGGAAAAAAGAUCGAAGGUCGUGCAUUUCCUCCCCGGAAAGCGGUAGGUAGGAGAGGUUUUCUUUGCGGACUGUAAGCAGUGAAAUUCAUCUAUUGCCCAGUCAUUCUGAAAUGGAUUUUUUAGGUUUUGAGCAAGAUUCACUGUUCUUCCCUGAUCUGUAAUUUAUGCCGGCAUGUGUGCAUGUUGAUACACGGCUGUGGGUGGGGCAUUUUGCCAGAGGGGUUAUUCUCCGUGAUGGACAAAACACUGACCCCUAGUCCAUGGACUACCCUAAUGGACUACCCAAAUGGACUACCUAAAAUGGACUACCCCUAAAAAAUACUAUUUCAGAUGAGUGGUAUGUUAAGAAGCUGCGAUUGUAUACUUACACUGUAGGGAGGAUGCUUUUCUUUUUGUUCUGCAUCACCUUCGGCUGCCAUUUUGAAUAACUUUUUAAUCACCAUUUAACUAUGGAUUGUGAAAUACAGUCGCCUGGCGCUUUUUUGUGUGGCUAAUUUUUUUUCACUUUGUUAUUUACAAGCUUAUAAAGGAAAGGCAGGGAAGCAUAAGGCAGGGACUCUGAACCUCAAUCGUUGAACCUUGCUUUUUCCACGUAUGUCACUUCACAAAACUCAUCAAAGUCCAGUUGUAACUCAAGUUAUAAGAUGGAAACAGAUUUUGUUAUUGAAGGUUUUACCUGAGCUGUCCAUGCUGGCAUGUUCUGCUGACACUUCGGUUGGCUUGAAUCUACGCGUUUUCUGUUCAGUGGUUGUUUUAUUCAGUAUAGUUGUUCAAAAUGGCGGCUGAAGGUGAUGUGGAAUGAAAAGAAAAGCAUCCUCCGUGCAGUGUAAGUAUAUAAUUGCAGCAGCUUAACAUACCACUCACCUGAAAUAGUAUUUUUCAGGGGUAAUCCAUUUUAGGGUAGUCCAUUUGGUUAGUCCAUUAGGGUAGUCCAUGGACUAAGGGUCAGUGAAGCAGUGUUUGUUAAACAAAGGACAUUACAUUUCUGGGAAUGAAAAAGGCUUC
Molecule: long non-coding RNA, 1706 nt
Organism: Orbicella faveolata
Lineage: Eukaryota; Metazoa; Cnidaria; Anthozoa; Scleractinia; Merulinidae
Source: RefSeq, a predicted model, not a curated record